AACUUGAGUCAUCGGCUUUCUUGUGGAGGACACCUUGAAAUUCUUGGUGCUCCUUCCUGCCAACAGACCUUAGCUAGGGCCACCCUGGCUAACCAAGCACACUGUCGUAACUGUUAAUCUUGAGAUGGCCAGGAUCUCAUUAAGAUUCUUUGCUUCCCAGAAACCUCAACUAACCCCACUCCCACCCUCCAAUUCUGCAAA
RNAcentral lists this long non-coding RNA (201 nucleotides) under Homo sapiens (human). RNAcentral's name for it is "non-protein coding lnc-EMB-8:1". Lineage: Eukaryota; Metazoa; Chordata; Mammalia; Primates; Hominidae. The record is from RNAcentral.